AAAAAAGGUAAGCUACUAAGAGCGAAUGGUGGAUGCCUUGACUGGUAAAGGCGAUGAAGGACGUACUAGACUGCGAUAAGCUACGGGGAGCUGUCAAGAAGCUUUGAUCCGUAGAUUUCCGAAUGGGGCAACCCAAUGUAUAGAGAUAUACAUUACCUAUAUAGGAGCGAACGAGGGGAAUUGAAACAUCUUAGUACCCUCAGGAAAAGAAAUCAAUAGAGAUUGCGUCAGUAGCGGCGAGCGAAAGCGCAAGAGGGCAAACCCAGUGCUUGCACUGGGGGUUGUAGGACUGCAAUGUGCAAGAGCUGAGUUUAGCAGAACAUUCUGGAAAGUAUAGCCAUAGAGGGUGAUAGUCCCGUAUGCGAAAAACAAAGCUUAGCUAGCAGUAUCCUGAGUAGGGCGGGACACGAGGAAUCCUGUCUGAAUCCGGGUCGACCACGAUCCAACCCUAAAUACUAAUACCAGAUCGAUAGUGCACAAGUACCGUGAGGGAAAGGUGAAAAGAACUGAGGUGAUCAGAGUGAAAUAGAACCUGAAACCAUUUGCUUACAAUCAUUCAGAGCACUAUGUAGCAAUACAGUGUGAUGGACUGCCUUUUGCAUAAUGAGCCUGCGAGUUGUGGUGUCUGGCAAGGUUAAGCAAACGCGAAGCCGUAGCGAAAGCGAGUCUGAAUAGGGCGCUUAGUCAGAUGCUGCAGACCCGAAACGAAGUGAUCUAUCCAUGAGCAAGUUGAAGCUAGUGUAAGAACUAGUGGAGGACUGAACCCAUAGGCGUUGAAAAGCCCCGGGAUGACUUGUGGAUAGGGGUGAAAGGCCAAUCAAACUUCGUGAUAGCUGGUUCUCUCCGAAAUAUAUUUAGGUAUAGCGUUGUGUCGUAAUAUAAGGGGGUAGAGCACUGAAUGGGCUAGGGCAUACACCAAUGUACCAAACCCUAUCAAACUCCGAAUACCUUAUAUGUAAUCACAGCAGUCAGGCGGCGAGUGAUAAAAUCCGUCGUCAAGAGGGAAACAACCCAGACUACCAGCUA
Molecule: ribosomal RNA, 1026 nt
Filed under: Campylobacter jejuni
Lineage: Bacteria; Pseudomonadati; Campylobacterota; Epsilonproteobacteria; Campylobacterales; Campylobacteraceae
Description: partial 23S ribosomal RNA
Rfam family: Bacterial large subunit ribosomal RNA
Source: RNAcentral